RNAcentral lists this long non-coding RNA (541 nucleotides) under Sus scrofa (pig). Its description in RNAcentral is "lncRNA (ENSSSCG00015026707.1)". The record is from RNAcentral. Lineage: Eukaryota; Metazoa; Chordata; Mammalia; Artiodactyla; Suidae.
UCUCGCCUUUCACCCUGGCGGAGGGGUGCCUGCACUCCAGGUCCCUACCUUGGGGUUAGAAUCUGGCUGCGGAAGGCCUCCAGAUCCCCUCCACUGCUAGUCUGAGACCCCAGCUUCAGCACCAGAGGCUGGACAGCGCCCUGGCCCGAUUGCGCCUGGGUUCCCGCGCACAGCUCCGCUGCCCUAAGUCGCUCGGAUCUCACGCGGAGGCGACCAGGAGUGACAAAUGGAAAAGCUGGAUGGAUGGAAACAAUGACCAUCUAAUUUGGUGUAAGAGAAGACCCAUAACUUCCCAGGAAGGCUGUGGCAGCAAGUAGUCCUCUUUAGGGAUGCUGGUAUUGGUCUCCACUUCUCUAAAAGGAAGGGGUAUCACCGUUCCUUUCCUUCCAAGACAGAAACCAUCUGACAACAGCCUGAGAAACUGUAAGUUUCAAUUACUAUGAACCAUGCCCUCUGCUAGGCACAGGGAUUUAAUCAUCAGAAAAAGAGUCCCUGGCCUCCUGGUCCAGUACCCUACCCCUACUUCGUUCUGAGUUGUGGC